CUCAUUAGCAUCUCCAUCUUG
RNAcentral lists this microRNA (21 nucleotides) under Solanum tuberosum (potato). RNAcentral's name for it is "stu-miR8048-5p". The record is from miRBase by way of RNAcentral. Lineage: Eukaryota; Viridiplantae; Streptophyta; Magnoliopsida; Solanales; Solanaceae.